This 424-nucleotide ribosomal RNA is filed under the name Verrucomicrobiota bacterium. RNAcentral's name for it is "Verrucomicrobia bacterium partial 16S ribosomal RNA". It matches the Rfam family "Bacterial small subunit ribosomal RNA", at positions 355 to 776 of the family's 1533-position model. Lineage: Bacteria; Pseudomonadati; Verrucomicrobiota. The record is from RNAcentral.
UGAGGAAUAUUGGUCAAUGGACGCAAGUCUGAACCAGCCACGUAGCGUGCAGGAUGACGGCCCUAUGGGUUGUAAACUGCUUUUAUGCGGGGAUAAAGGAGUCCACGUGUGGAUUUUUGCAGGUACCGCAUGAAUAAGGACCGGCUAAUUCCGUGCCAGCAGCCGCGGUAAUACGGAAGGUCCGGGCGUUAUUCGGAUUUAUUGGGUUUAAAGGGAGCGUAGGCCGCGUUUUAAGCGUGUUGUGAAAUGUAGACGCCCAACGUCUGCAUCGCAGCGCGAACUGGGACACUUGAGUACGCGCAAGGGUGGCGGAAUUCGUCGUGUGGCGGUGAAAUGCUUAGAUAUGACGAGGAACACCGAUUGGGAAGGCAGCUGACGGGAGCGGCACUGACGCUUAAGCUCGAAGGUGCGGGUAUCAAACAGG